Molecule: ribosomal RNA, 501 nt
Filed under: Saccostrea malabonensis
Lineage: Eukaryota; Metazoa; Mollusca; Bivalvia; Ostreida; Ostreidae
Description: partial 16S ribosomal RNA
Rfam family: Bacterial large subunit ribosomal RNA
Source: RNAcentral
AAACAUCACUAGGAGAAGUUCACUCUUAGCAGUGCCUGCCCAGUGCAAAAUUGUAAACGGCCGCCCUAGCGUGAGGGUGCCAAGGUAGCGAAAUUCCUUGCCUUUUAAUUGUAGGCCUGCAUGAAUGGAUUGACGAGGGUCAAGCUGUCUCUUGCCUUGAUGACGAAAUUGGACUAAAGGUGAAGAUACCUUUAUAGAAAAGUUAGACAAGAAGACCCCGUGCAGCUUUAAAAAAGUUACUUAUUAAGAGUUGUAAGAUUUUUAGGUGGGGCGCCUAGGAAGUAAAACUUAACCUUCUUAUUUGUUAAGAAAAAGCUCUCAGGCAUAGACCCGGCAAGUCCGAUCAUGGGAGAAGUUACGCCGGGGAUAACAGGCUUAUCCAUUAGUAGAGCUCGUAUUGGCUAAUGGGAUUGGCACCUCGAUGUUGAAUUAAGGAUGAUAGCUCUAAGGCGUAGAAGCUUUAGAAGUGGGUCUGUUCGACCUUUAAUACCUUACGUGAUC